This 426-nucleotide long non-coding RNA is filed under the name Phascolarctos cinereus (koala). Its description in RNAcentral is "lncRNA (ENSPCIG00000026757.2)". The record is from RNAcentral. Lineage: Eukaryota; Metazoa; Chordata; Mammalia; Diprotodontia; Phascolarctidae.
UCUUUUGGUUAAGACAAGAGAGGACAUUGGAGACAAUCCCAGACUGGAAAUGCCAGCUGUAUCUUCAGUUUCCUCUUGGUUCCAUAUCACAGCAAAAUGAGGGUGUCCCCCUCCACACUGAAGUUCCAGCAAAGGCAGGAGAUACAGAAAAUCCAACUCUCAGAGAACAGAGCACAGUGACAAGGGAUUUGGAUGUGGCGUUUCCAGACCUGAAGAGCAAGAUCUGGCAGCUGGAAGAUACCCUGGAUGAGUUGAAUGAGGAGUUUGUUCAGCUCAGCACUCAGGCCCUGAAACUGCAGACAGGAGGGAAUGAGCAAGACCAAAUAUGGCACCAAUGGACCUUGGUCACGGAAAGGUGAAGGAGGAGAGGCUCGAGGUAAUUGAGCUCCCAUGAGCCAUUCACAUACCUUGGCUCUACCACCAAGC